This 6210-nucleotide long non-coding RNA is filed under the name Sus scrofa (pig). RNAcentral's name for it is "lncRNA (ENSSSCG00055011527.1)". The record is from RNAcentral. Lineage: Eukaryota; Metazoa; Chordata; Mammalia; Artiodactyla; Suidae.
CGCUUCUGCGACCUACACCACAGCUCACGGCAACGCCGGAUCCUUAACCCACUGAGCAAGGCCAGGGAUCGAACCCGCAACCUCAAGGUUCCUAGUCAGAUUCAUUUCCACUGUGCCACGACGAGAACGCCCUACAUAUGCUUUUUUUAAUUAAGGUAUGUACCCUAUUUUUUUUUAUUUAUUUGCUUUCUAGGGCCGCACCCACAGAAUGUGGAGGUUCCUGGGCUAGGGAUCGAAUAAUCGGAGCUACAGCUGCCAGCCCAAACCACAGCCACAGCAAGGCCAGAUCCGAACCACAUCUGCUCUCAGCAAUGCCGGAUCCUUAAUCCACUGAGCGAGGCCAGGGAUUGAAGCCACAACCUCAUGGUUCCUACUCAGAUACAUUUCCACUGCGCCACAAUGGGAACUUCCCCACCAUAUAUUUCUUCGUGAGAAAGCAAGUUGGAGAACAGCAUGUGCAGUAUGAUCUAACUUACAUAAUUCUUAGAGGAUAAAAUUCCAUUAUAUGUAUGCUCAUGUAUGAAUAGAAAAUUCGUAGAGGGCAAACACAAGAAACUAUUUACACUGGAAAUGUUGGAGUGGAUAAGAAACUCCCAGUGCCUCGACAUGUAUUAAUUAUUCAGUAAAAGCACGUUUUAAAAAGAGCACAAAAGUGCUGAAAGGCAUGCCCUUGGUCAUCUCAAGGGCUUUAUGUGAUGGUCACACUUUAAAGUGAUCUCGCAAAUUCCAACCAACAGCUAAGAAAUGGAUGAAAAAUGUUCCCACCUUCUUUCAAAAGACAGUGUGCAAAUAUGGCUAGCUCUUUGACAUUCAAAUAAUGGACUGGUUUUAUUUAUCCAGGGAGAAAAAACGCCACUUCAUUUCUAGGGUUUCAAGCCUCAAAGGUUUUAUGGGUCCUUAAUUUUUGUUUGUUUAUUUGUUUGCUUUUGGCAGGUUUUAUUCUUGGGCUGCGUCCAAUAACUGGUCCUAGAAGCUGUUAUGUCAAAAACACAACAGCCAAGCAUCUAACAGUUAGAUGAGUAUAUGGCCAUUUCAGAAUUGUAUUUACUUAGACCCAAAAAAGAAUCUCUAAAACACAGUUAGCAUGUGCUAACAAUGGCACAUUUGAGUCCUAACUCCAUUACCUAGAACACAUUGCUUCUCUAUUAAAUAUGAAAAUGGUUAUGUCCCUAAUAUCUGCUUUCAUUAUCACCUAAUCUCCUCCUAGACUAAAUUACAUUAUUAAAUGCAUGGCAAAGAUGGCUUCAGUACGGUUUAUAGAGCCAAAGAAGACAUCAUUAAAAUCAAAUUAAGCCAUCCACGGGCAGGAUAAAUCUACUUGGACACCUCAGGUCUUAGAGACGGCAAAACCACACACCAGCAUGUGAAACAACUGUUGAGUUCCCACAGUAACUCUGAACUGGCUAAGGACUCCAAGGUGCUCAACUAAAUAAAUUCGUCUUCAUUUAACUGACUGUGCUAUUCCCAGUGAACACCUCUUUAACAAAAGGCUCAGUGUAGGCAUAUAGACUUGAGAACCCAAAGAAGGGUCUCCUACUAGAGAAGGAAAUUGUUAUCUGAUGAUGAAAGAACACUGCGGGCUUGUCAAAGCAGUCACCGGGCUCUAUGAAAUUAUGAAAAGGGUAAAAACACUAGAAAAAAGCAGGAAAAUGAUUAAGCUGUAGGAUUAUAAAAUAAAGGUAAUGAUGAUAGAAUUAAUAUAAACCACUUGUACUUAACCCGUUUUAGUCUCUCCUUGCUUAAAUAGUUAAAGACUCCUGACGGCAAAUGAUAGGUAGGUAUAUGUACCUCACAAGGAGAAAAGAAACUGGCCCAAGAGUGAUGCCCUUUGGCCACGUAUCAUAUAAACAGGAAGGGGAGUGUGCCCUGUUCUCAGGAUCCACUGACACUUUGAUACAAACAAAUAAUGAGGAAAUAUGCUGAAAAUGGAAAGCAUAAAAAAAUCAAUUUCAACAAAAGAAAAGAAAUCAACUCUGCCAGAGGGAAAAAUGACCAUUUUCAAGAAACUGUAAAAAGAAGAAAAAAAAGAGAGAGAGAAGCUCUCUGGUUUUGUAAUGCUUUCUGAAGUACUGACAAUUUCACAUGAGAGAGACACGAAAGCACUACAAAAUUAGGAUGCUUAGGUGUUUCCAAAGCCAUUGUAACUUUCUGAAUGAAUUGUUUAUUACUCACAUACUACUGACAAAUAUUGCACAUAACUUCCUUUGAGCAUUCUAGGAGAGUAUCCAUUUUCUCCCUAGCUUCUCUUUUUACUCCAUAUCAGGAGCUACAAAGCACUCUUCUAACUAACCACCCCAAAGACCCUCCUGCCCCAGAACGCUUGCAACAGUUAAGUGACAUCUGGGCGAGAAUUUCAGAAGGGUGGAUUCUUUCAUGGUUCCUGAACCAUGAGCUGGCACCAGCUUUGGAUUCUGUCAUAAUUUCCACCAUCUCAUUUUUAAGCCUUCCGGGUUAGAGUAUGGGCGCUGCCUGUGAGCUAAGGGCUGCACCUUCUUCUAUCUAUGUCAUUAUUUGUUUACAAAGGGACCGUCUAUAUAGCUUUCCAUGAAGUUCCAAGCAUCACAAAUUAACCACACAACAUUUGAAGACAGUGUAGCUUAGCCACAGUAGUUAUGAUUGACUUUUUAGGGCCUGGCUGAUUCAAAGACUGUUCAUGUCUACACUCUGAUGGUGCUACCAGAACAAAUAAUAAAUAAGGUGGUGUUGUCUUUGCUUGCAAUAAUAGAAGUAUGAUGGGUCCUGUGUCUGAAAACACCGUCUCUCCUCCAUGACUGAAGACGCAAUGAAGCAGACCUGGAAAACAUUCAUAGGAGGACUGGAGAAAACACUGGAUGACAGCUAGAUUCAAAUAUGAAAUACUUCCUGCACAGAAAAUAUAAAAUGAAUGGGUAGAAGAUGCUACUUGCCAUGUCUCAUUCCCUACAAAAAAAUUCCCUCCAAAUCAGAGCUUUCCAGGGAUAGAAAAGGUGUCAGCAUUUCCUCCUUAAACAUAGUGAGGGCCAGCUGGUACUGCCCCAGCCUGUCUGAUCCUGGCAAGGUCUAGGCUUCGGGGCCAUGGUUAGAUAGUAUCUGAAUCCCCAAGACAGUGAGGAUACAGUAGUGCUUAAUUCUCUGAGACUCAACAACACCUUUUCUUAUCAGAAAUGAAAUUCAGAGACCAUAUAACCUACCUACUCACAUAUUUUUAAUCAGUAAAAUGUCCUAGCUGUAACAUAAAAGCAUUUCGCAGUACAUAAAAAUUAUUUGGAAUAAAAUAAUAGUAGUUUAGCAUGCAAUGCUGAAGCUAGACUUCACAAGAAGGCCAUUCAAAUAAUGAAAGGACAGCUAUAAUUGCUGAUGAAUAAAAUGUGUCACAUCAGUUAUUCCAGUACUAAAAGCAGUUUACCCAUCCGUCGCGUGAUUUGUUACAAUAGUGAAUAAUGCUUUGUAAAACAUGGAACACAGCAAAGUAUAGUCUUUUCUCAAUUUACAUGGUAGUUGCAUUUCUGAAAACUUCACUGUGUAAUAAAACAACAGGAACAUAUUUUUUUUAACAUAUAGUAGAGUUAGUUUCCAAACUCAGAAAAUUAUGUACAGGUUUUUCAUUUGCAGGAAUGCCUUCAAGGAUAUUUGAAAGCCUUGUAAGAUAGGAGAAAACUCUGUGCACUGCAUGAAAUCAAGUGGGUCUGGCCCCAAACCACUGCAAGCCAGUGGCACACACUCAACUGCUGUGACAAAGACACAUCAUGAUCCCAACGUACCUUUCUGAGCAAUCCUGGUUUUUCUCAUUGUGAUGGUUAAUUGUAAUGUCAACUUGAUUGGACUGAGGGACAACCAGAUAGCUGGUGACAUUAUUUCUGGGGGUGUCUAUGAUGCUGUUUCUGGAGGAGAACUGCAUUUGAAUCAGUCGACUGAGUAAAGAGAUCCAUCCUCACCAAUGCUGGUGGGCAGCAUCCAAUCCCUUACGGGUCUGAAUAGAACAAAAGGCUGAGGAAGGGCAGACACCCUCUUGCCCUUCUUCAGCUGGGACAUCAUCCAUCUUCCUCUGUCCUGGGUCACUGGGGCUCCUGGUUCUCAGCCUUCAGACUCUGGCACUUAAAACCAGCAACCCCAGAUUAUCUGGGCUUCAGAUUUGGACUAAAUUAAGCCACUGGCCUUCCUGGGUCUCCAGCUGCAAAAUGGAAGAGUGCAGGACUUCUCAGUCUCCAUAAGCACAGGUGCCAAUCCCUAUAAUAAAUCCCCUCUCCAUUUGGCUACAUCUCUCUUUCCAUAUGUCUAUACCAAUAUGCUGUCUCUCUGGAGAACCCCGAAUAAUACACCCAUCCCACUGAGAUGGACUUUCAUAAGCAGAUUCCCCAACAAUAAAGGGACAUCAAAACCCAAAGCUGAGGGGAACUGAUGUGGAAAGAAUCAGGCAGAAGGAGGAUGAGGCUGGGAAGAGGUCCUGAAAUGGAAAGGACAAUAAGCUGCAGUGUUGUUGACAUCGUUUCCGUAGCGACGUACCUCUCUCCUGAGCAUUCAAGGGCACAGUUCAGAGGCAGAGGGAAGUGGUCGUUUGCAGCUGGUCACAGGUGGUAUCCAAGCAGAGGCUGGAUGACCAUUCACAAGGAAGACAGAAGUGGGGACCUGGACAUCUACCAUUCCCUGAGACUGUGGACGUUAUUUAUUCACCAAGGGAACUGGUCAAGUCAGGCUUCCAAAGAAUCUAGGGUAGAGCUGUCAACUUUCACAGCUAGUUCACACACAACCCUUCGCGCAAUAUACUCUAUGAUCGCAGAGACCUCAUCAUUCAUCAGCCAAACCAGGCCACUCUGACAGUGCAAGUAGAAGCUCUAAGUAAAUUCCAUGGCCUAUCAGAUACAAACCAGGACUGUCCCAGGUAAAACUGGACCUGUGUUUAUUGUCUCUACCUUGGAAUUUAUGUCUAAGUACGGAAGAACCACCAGGGAACAGUAGCAUUACUAAAUAAAUAAUAUUUCCAUGGGACUGCCUAACCAUCCAGAGCUUUUUUCCUCCUAUAUUUAUUUUAAAAAUUAAAACCCCCAAAUUAUGGCAUCAUGAAAAUAAUUAUAGCUUACUGUAUUCCUUUAUAUCUUUCCCAAGUAAUAUAUUUGCUAUGUGACUAUGUUUAUACCAAAGCAUAUAUAUUUUAUAAAUUGCUUAUACCUAUUAUAGUUUAAAAUGAGUCAUAUUAUUAAAUUAAAGGCUUCAUUAAUUUAGGAAAAUACAUAUAUAAAUAUAUCAUAUUUCACACUAUAAUAUAUCAUGUUAACAGAGUGGUUUCAAAGUGAUUUGAUAUAUGUAAUCUUAUUAGAAUCAAUCAUCUAAAAAUAAGAACAAGCAUAAAGGGGUAUAUUCAUACCAACCAAAAUAUUAGCAAUAUCAUGAAUUAUCCUUAUGUUUAUAUUUUAGGUCUAACAGUGAAAUGGCCAUUUUUAAAGUCAUUCUUUAUGGAAAGCAGAGACAUUUAAAUAUUAAAAUGUUGGCUCUAUGAUUUGUUUUUAAAGUCACAAUUUAUUACAUAUGGACCCUUUAAAGUUUUUUCAAAACACACAUUUAUAUAAGAAUUAUUUGUGUAUAAUUUGCCUACUGGCUGCACAGUCUUCUGAAAAGAAAUUAAGCCCUCUUUGAAAGGAGGAAAAUAUCUGAAUCCAUCCAUUGUUCCACUUAAAUACUUGGCUCGCAAUAGUACAUACUCAAUAAAUGCUCAUGGAAUUAAACACUGGAUGACUGAUUGAAUGAAUGAAAAAAUAAACCAGCAAUCUCCCACAGGGUAAAGUUUAUGAAGAUAACUAUUCAAUGGUCAUCAAUAUUUCCAACAGAAAUAAACUAAAUGCAUCUAAAACAUAGUAUUUAUUACAUCUAAACCAUAGUGUUGAUGGCGUUUCCUGAUGUCCUAGCAGUUAAGGAUCCAAUGUUGUAACUUUGUGGCUCAAGUCACUGCCAUGGCUUGGGAUUGAUCCCUGGACUUGGAAUUCCUGCAUGCCACAGUCAUAGCAUAAAUAAACAAACAAACAAACCACAGUAUUGCAAUUUGUUCUUUAUAUUUCUUAACCAUAUAUCAUAAAGAGACAUUAACAUUAUAAAUAAAUUAGAGUCAAGUCUUAUUUAACUGUACCAAGGUUUUAGAAAUUAAAUUAUAUUGGGAGUUCCCACUGUGGUUCAUUGUUAAUGAACCUGACUAGCAUCCAUAAGGAUGUUGAUUUGAUCCCUGGCCUCGCUCAGUGGGUU